Molecule: long non-coding RNA, 1286 nt
Filed under: Podarcis muralis (Common wall lizard)
Lineage: Eukaryota; Metazoa; Chordata; Lepidosauria; Squamata; Lacertidae
Description: lncRNA (ENSPMRG00000016954.1)
Source: RNAcentral
AUGGGAGAACUCAAUACCUCCCCUGAAACUUCCUGCCAUACCCCAACUGGGUUUUGUCUCUGGCAAUACUCCAUGCUUACUCACCAAGGUGGGGUAGUGCCACAGGGGAUAAAAGGAACACAUAGGUGUGAUGAUCCAGGGGGUAAACAAAUGGCAGGAGAAGGGUUCCCCUUCUUCCCACUUGCCUCCUACCAAACCUCACCCUCCUGGGGAGACUUUACAAGGCCUGCAUUCUUCCCUGAAAUGAAGGACAGCAAUUCAGCGAGGUAGGUUAGGCUGAGAGAUGGCGGCUUGCUCAGCCCAGUGGGCAGCAUAUCUGUGGAAGAAACUGAAUACAGCAGGUAGAGGGGUGAGAGGACUGCAAUUUGCCACAGGCCAAGGAGAAGGCCUCAUUCUGAAGAAGGAUUUGAAGCUGGCUGGGUUACAUUUUAUCCAUUAGUCAGGCUUGUUUGACAACAACAUGAAAUGGUGUCUUUAGUGUCAUUGGCCCAGUCCUGUGGAAUACCUUGCCAAUAGAGAUUCAGCAGGUGCCUUCUGCACUGACUUUUAAACCCCUGCCGAAAAUGUUUCUACUACUACUACUGCUACAGUGGUACCUCAGAUUAAGUACUUAAUUCGUUCCGGAGGUCCGUUCUUAACCUGAAACUGUUCUUAACCUAAAGCACCACUUUAGCUAAUGGGGCCUCCUGCUGCUGCCGCGCCGCCAGAGCACAAUUUCUGUUCUCAUCCUGAAGCAAAGUUCUUAACCUGAAGCACUAUUUCUGGGUUAGCGGAGUCUGUAACCUGAAGUGUAUGUAACCUGAAGCAUAUGUAACCUGAGGUACCACUGUACUUUUAUUAUUUGUACCCCACCCAUCUGACUGGGUUGCCCCAGCCACUCUGAGCAGCUUCCAGCAUAUAUAAAAACAUUCCAUCAGGCCUAGAUGGUACAUCCUCCACAGUGGUAUACUGAUUAAUUUUUUUAAACCCACUGGUUUAGUGCAUUGGUCUUCAGCUGCUGAGUACGGACCCGCUGCUGGGCUUGACUUAAAGUGGGACACCAGAGCAGCACAACAGCCCUACAAAUAUAUGAUAAAAAUGUGUUGGCUCAAGGUGGAGCCUCUGACAAGUCUGAAGCUUACUGGUUUAGCGUGAAUGAGUGGGUUCGCAGACUGAAGAUCACGGCUGCAGCAGGACCCCAGGAGCAACUCUGUGGCUGUGAACCUCAGUCUGCAAACCCACACAUUUGCUAGUUCAUGCUAAGCCAUGGUUUGGCCUAGCAUUACAUGUGAACUGGGCCUAAUUGG